This 310-nucleotide unclassified non-coding RNA is filed under the name plant metagenome. RNAcentral's name for it is "partial contains 5.8S ribosomal RNA, internal transcribed spacer 2, and large subunit ribosomal RNA". The stretch from base 1 to 105 matches the Rfam family "5.8S ribosomal RNA", at positions 50 to 154 of the family's 154-position model. The record is from RNAcentral.
GAAAUGCGAUAAGUAGUGUGAAUUGCAGAAUUCAGUGAAUCAUCGAAUCUUUGAACGCACAUUGCGCCCCUUGGUAUUCCAUGGGGCAUGCCUGUUCGAGCGUCAUUUGUACCCUCAAGCUCUGCUUGGUGUUGGGUGUUUGUCCCCGUCUCCGCGCGUGGACUCGCCCCAAAGUGAUUGGCAGCCGGCGUACUGGUCCCGGAGCGCAGCACAUGUCGCGCAAACGAGUGCCUUGGUACGGCGGCGUCCAUAAGCCCCUCUCUCACGCUCUUGACCUCGGAUCAGGUAGGGAUACCCGCUGAACUUAGGC